AUGGCCACCGUGACCUCCUCGUCUCCCUCGUGCCCCAAGCCCAAGGCCGCCAAGCCGGCGAGGUACUGCCUGUGCGCGCCGACGACGCACCCGGGCUCGUUCCGGUGCAGGCUGCACCGCCCGACGGCGGCCAAGGCGGCGGCGGCGCCUUCUUCGGAGCCUGAGGCGGCCAAGGAAUCGGCUGAGAGGAAGGAGGCGGCGGCGGCCGCCGCGCGCGCAUUGCACCGGCGGGUGGCGCGGGCGCCCUGGCGGGACGCUGGGAGGAUCAAGGGAUUUCAGCCUGGGCCUUCCAGGCUACGGAUCAUGGACCGGACGGGUGAGUCGGUGCAGACUGCAGAGGACGUAGCCUCCGUCUCCGUCACAUGA
RNAcentral lists this ribosomal RNA (366 nucleotides) under Triticum aestivum (bread wheat). RNAcentral's name for it is "partial small subunit ribosomal RNA". Lineage: Eukaryota; Viridiplantae; Streptophyta; Magnoliopsida; Poales; Poaceae. The record is from RNAcentral.